RNAcentral lists this long non-coding RNA (769 nucleotides) under Parus major (Great Tit). Its description in RNAcentral is "lncRNA (ENSPMJG00000004267.1)". The record is from RNAcentral. Lineage: Eukaryota; Metazoa; Chordata; Aves; Passeriformes; Paridae.
CUUGAAAGCAGGAUGGCAAAUGAGGGCAUUGUGGUGUAUUCUCAGAGGGAUCUCUUCUAAUAUCUACCAGGGAUGUCUGCAGGGAAUUCCUGUUUUGCUUGCUCAGAAUUGUGUUUGCAGGAAAUUCCUUUUUUACUUUGUUAUGAGUUGUGUUUUUCAAGCUCUCCACAGUUAAACUGGCAGGCUGGAACCAGAGGCAGUCUCUUCAAGGGCUCUGCAGGCAUAUCCAUGCAGCUGUAAAGUGAAAGUGAGAACUUCCUUUGGCAUCCUGUCUUUGUGGUGCUGCCAUUCCUGUUGAAUGCAGUCUCAGUGAUUUGUGCUGGCUGGAUUCACGUGUGGCAUCUCGUUGACUUUGCUGGUGAGUUCAGACAGCGAGGUGUUUUUUCAGAAAGCACAUGAGGAGGAGAGAGCAGCACUUCACUGAACGAGCUGUACAGCCCUUGGUGCUGCAGCUCAGACCUGGAGAAGCCUUUACAGGUCCGUAUUUUUGUGAUCCUGAGAGUCAGAUGGAGACCCCUGGAGAAAAGGGCAUCUGUCUGCUCCUUGCUAAGAACAAGGUUCCAGGCAGUCUCCUAACAUGGUUCUGGGAUCAGGUUCUGCUUGGAUUUUAUUUGGCAUGUAAGUGCUCUGCUAAGAAAUCUGCAGUGUCUACAUUUAUUUUAAACACAUAUAAAGAUUUUUACUUUAGUAUAGGUACAAUAAUGUUCACAUGGAGUGUGCAGAAAUGCAACCUAAGUGCUUUUAAGGUAGUACAGAAUUUAAUAAAAUA